This 65-nucleotide transfer RNA is filed under the name Perisphaerus sp. 2 ZQW-2023b. RNAcentral describes it as "tRNA-Thr". Lineage: Eukaryota; Metazoa; Arthropoda; Insecta; Blattodea; Blaberidae. The record is from RNAcentral.
GUUUUAAUAAUUUAAAAAAAAAUUUUGGUCUUGUAAAUCAACUUUAAGGUUUACCUUUUAAAACU